GAUGAACGCUAGCGGCAGGCUUAAUACAUGCAAGUCGUGGGGCAGCAUGAGUAGCAAUACUUGAUGGCGACCGGCAAACGGGUGAGGAACACGUACACAACCUUCCUUCAAGCGGGAAUAGCCCAGAGAAAUUUGGAUUAAUACCCCAUAAUAUAUUUGAUAAAGGCAUCUUAUUAAAUAUUAAAGGCUUCGGCACUUGAUGAUGGGUGUGCGGCUGAUUAGAUAGUUGGCGGGUAACGGCCCACCAAGUCUACGAUCAGUAGCUGAUGUGAGAGCAUGAUCAGCCACACGGGCACUGAGACACGGGCCCGACUCCUACGGGAGGCAG
This 328-nucleotide ribosomal RNA is filed under the name uncultured bacterium. RNAcentral's name for it is "bacterial SSU rRNA". It matches the Rfam family "Bacterial small subunit ribosomal RNA", at positions 28 to 351 of the family's 1533-position model. The record is from RNAcentral.